RNAcentral lists this ribosomal RNA (492 nucleotides) under uncultured bacterium. Its description in RNAcentral is "partial 16S ribosomal RNA". It matches the Rfam family "Bacterial small subunit ribosomal RNA", at positions 29 to 507 of the family's 1533-position model. The record is from RNAcentral.
AGUGAACGCUGGCGGUAGGCCUAACACAUGCAAGUCGAACGGCAGCACAGUAAGAGCUUGCUCUUACGGGUGGCGAGUGCCGGACGGGUGAGGAAUACAUCGGAAUCUACUUUUUCGUGGGGGAUAACGUAGGGAAACUUACGCUAAUACCGCAUACGACCUACGGGUGAAAGCAGGGGAUCUUCGGACCUUGCGCGAUUGAAUGAGCCGAUGUCGGAUUAGCUAGUUGGCGGGGUAAAGGCCCACCAAGGCGACGAUCCGUAGCUGGUCUGAGAGGAUGAUCAGCCACACUGGAACUGAGACACGGUCCAGACUCCUACGGGAGGCAGCAGUGGGGAAUAUUGGACAAUGGGCGCAAGCCUGAUCCAGCCAUACCGCGUGGGUGAAGAAGGCCUUCGGGUUGUAAAGCCCUUUUGUUGGGAAAGAAAAGCAGCAGGUUAAUACCCCGCUGUUCUGACGGUACCCAAAGAAUAAGCACCGGCUAACUUCGUG